RNAcentral lists this transfer RNA (73 nucleotides) under Pristimantis ceuthospilus (Wild's robber frog). RNAcentral's name for it is "tRNA-Leu". It matches the Rfam family "tRNA". From Rfam's summary of the family: Transfer RNA (tRNA) molecules are approximately 80 nucleotides in length. Their secondary structure includes four short double-helical elements and three loops (D, anti-codon, and T loops). Lineage: Eukaryota; Metazoa; Chordata; Amphibia; Anura; Strabomantidae. The record is from RNAcentral.
GUUAGUGUAGCAAAUCUUGGCCUUGCAGAAGAUCUAAACCCUUCUCACAGAGGUUCAAAUCCUCUCUCUAACU